CAUAUCUCCCAAGGCUGACAAGCAUUGCCUGAAACAGGUUCAGAUUCCAAUUGAUCGUACGCUGAACUGCAAUGUUUUCACUUCCUUCUCAUAGAAAUGUAGCAGAAGAACUCUGAUAUUCCUUCAUCCUUCUUCAAGAGCACCCUCUGCUUCCUGGGUACUCCUGGCCUGGUCCCUAGCAUCUAAGGGAGGAGCGAGGUGCAGCAACUGUGAGCAGAACAGACGGAGUGGACAAUUUACAAGUACAUGGAGGUUCAGGACCGCCGGAGUGAUGCAAUGUGACCCUCCCCGAGCCACCCCUCUCUAUGGAAGACCCACUUACCACCUCGUGCCGCAUCUCAGACUGCGCCACACUUUCAGAGAUGGAUGCCUGAAGGAAUGUGGAGAAACAGACACACAGAGAGAGCCUUUCCCCUUGAAGACCAUCACCUCCCUGACAGAUGAGGGAGACGUAGUCCCAGAGAGGCAAUAUUCUCCAAAGUUCCACACAACCUGGAGCUUCUGCUUCAAAUGCCUCAGAGUCAGCAUUUCCAUGGAAGAGUCUCCCUAGGUUGCUCAAGCUAGUCUUGGGCUGCUGGGCUCAAAUCAUCUCCCUGCCUCAGCCUCACACGUACCUGUGACCAUUGGUGCGCUCUGAAGUAUUCUCAGCCUCACUAGGCUGCUGUCCCAAAGGCAGGCCCAAUCUGCAAGCUGAUUUAGAAGUAUCUGGUAGAUUUGUAGGCCCCUCAUCUGCCCUUUCUUGCUGUUGUUUGGGAGUUGGGAGUUUGCCUGUUUGUGUUUUGAUUGCCAAACUAGAAAUCCACUGGGGCCCCUCUCCUGUCAGGGGAGCUUUCUGCCCUGAAAUUACAGAUUCAGCCUUCUUUUUGACUUUUUUUUUUAAAGAUAAGGUCUCUGUCUUUUUAACCCAAAGCAGGUCCUGGAUUACAAUUCUCCUGUCUCAUUCUUUCUGUGAUUCCAGACCUGAACUCCCAGUCCUUGCCUUGACCUAUGUUUAGGUUCUAAGCUCAGUGUCCCCAUUCUGAGGGUUAGGGUCAUGGAAGCAAAAGAUCUUUAGGCAAAAGCAUGGGGCCAGAUGGGUGUCCAUGAUGCCAUGUGGUAAGGGAAGCUUUCCAAGCCCUGUGGACAAACUCUGGGGGAAAAACGAAAACGGGUCACAUAUUUUUCUGAACCCUGCAAAAGUUUCAAAAUAAAAGCCUCCAAAAGCAAUAGGCUAGAGAUGGAGGUGACCUGCAUGGGGGCAGGGUGGGCCAUAAGAAUGUGGAGAGGGAGGAGGCAGAGGCCUGGGAUGAGAAGGGACUCUUUGGGGAGGAAGGCUAGGCUGUACCGGUUGGUUAGAGCACUCUCACCUCUGGAUGACAUACUGUCACAGGCUCCUCCCAGACCCCAAGGGUCCUCUCUAGCACUGCAGGGGUUAAUGUCUGGCACAUCAGCAGGCACCUGGUCACAACUGCUGACCACACAGUUGUGCUUGAGGAUUCUGAACGUGACUCAUGGCGAGAGCCGUGUCUUUGGCAGGCAUGGACUCCAGCAUGGCUCCAAGAGCAUUCGUUUCUGUACAUGGCCUCGUUGAUACAUAACUGACCAAGCUCUGCAGAGCCUGGUGUGGCCUCACUCUGAGGCAGGUGGAAGGUCGGUGGAAGGUCAAACAAGCAGUAAGUACAGCUCCAAGUCAGGGCCUGGGAGAUGUUGUACACUGUUGAAAAUAAAACAGGAGAGGGGAAACAGGAGAGGAAAGGGCACCAGGUCACUUGGAGCAGGUUCAGGAAGGCCUUCUAAGUCACACUGGGGAGUCUGAGCUCUAUCUGGAGGGCCCAGAGAAGCAGGGGUUGUGGCCUUUGUGGGAUACUAAGGCCGUGUGAUCCUGUUUCUAUGUUGUAAAAUUGGAAGAGAGUCGUGAGAGACGGGAGAUGGCUCAGAAGGUAAAGUGUCUGCCACAUAAGCUUGAGGACCUGGGUUCAGGACCCCAACACCCAUAUAAAAGCUAAAUGUAACUGUACUGGGCAGGGGGCAGAGGCAGGCAGAUCCUCUGGGGGCUUCACUGGACAGUCAGUCUUGGGGAAGAUGUGCUAUCUCGACAAAACAGAACAAACAAAAUAAAACAAAACCACAUAAAACACAAAUGAAGCAAAAACUAAAAAAAAAAAAACAUGAAAAAGAAAAUGUAUUUGGGGUGUAAUUUGAACUUCAGGGCAAUUGACCAAAAUAAUGAGUUUAAAUGAAAUAGAAAAGCCUUGAGUUACCUUAUAACACGGCUUUAUCAUUUUGUCAGUCUGGGAAGAAUUUGUGUCCUUCUCGGUACCCUAGGCUAGCCUCGGCCUUCUGAGAGCAGAUAUUUCAGGACCUUCACACCAUGUCUGGCAUUUUCCGGUUUCAAAAGAGGACAUUGUUGGAGUGAUCUAGUCUUUCACCGGUGGAAACUGGAAGCGCUCAGCUUAUUUGUGCUAUUACACAGGAUUCUCAGGGCUGAGUGUGGAGGCAUAUACCUGCCAUGCUAGCACUCGGGAAGAUCUUGAGUUCAAAGUCAUUCUCAGCUCAAUGGUAAGUUCAAGACCAGUGUGAGCCACAUAAUAAGAUCCUAUCCCAAAAUAAGGAAAAGAAAAAAAAAAAGGAAGAAUAUUCUUAAGGUAAGCAUAGCUGAGUCGUCGUUAGGUCAAAGGGCGUGUGUGUUUAAUUAGAUACGAGUGACCAAUGUUUGCUUCAUAAGUGAAUUUUCUUGGCUGUCCCUCCUCACUAUCACUUCCCGUCAUCACCUAAAACAUUCUGAAACAGGAUAGGUUCAGGGUCUAUCUUCGCUUUUGUGCUUCUCUGGAAGACUGAGCAGAGUCUAAAGUAUUUCCUGCCUGGUCCUUUCUCCUGCCACCGCCCUAUCUGUGGCUGGGGACCCUUUCCUGCCAGCUCUUUAAUCUCCACCCCUGUGAACUCAGGGUGAAGUUGUGUGCUGGCUAUUUCUUCAUGGCCCGUGGUGAAUAAGUGUAUUCCCAGUCUCCUGGUUGAUUGCGAUCGUCAUCCUUAAUUUCCCCUGGCAGAAUGUUCUCAAUUUCCCACAGUAACUGGUCCACCUAUUCAUUUCUGGUUUCUAGGCAGCCUGGGGGCUGAGGAGGCUCCUUGUCAGCAGGUUAAAGGCGGGUGCUCGCUCAGCCACUGGCUGUGUCCCGUGCCCUGUGCCACCCUCGUGCUGCCCCUCGGAAGACUCAGCAAACCUGUUCCUUGGCCUGUGGACUCCACCAGGAGGGAUACUGCCUCGCCUUUCACGGCCAACCCUGGGAGCUCCGGCUUUGGUUCUCCCUGGACACCCAGUUCCUUUUAAGGAGUUAUGCAUCUUAUACGUUCCUUAAUCCCCCGACUAAAUUUACCAGCUGUCUCUUGCAGCCAAGGCAUUGGCUAAAUUAAACUCCACAGUGGUGGACACGGUGUAUCA
Arvicola amphibius (Eurasian water vole) is the source of this 3418-nucleotide long non-coding RNA. RefSeq lists it as uncharacterized. The transcript is spliced from 2 exons. The record is from RefSeq and is a predicted model, not a curated record. Lineage: Eukaryota; Metazoa; Chordata; Mammalia; Rodentia; Cricetidae.